AUACGGAGGAUCCAAGCGUUAUCCGGAUUUAUUGGGUUUAAAGGGUGCGUAGGCGGACUGGUAAGUCAGCUGUGAAAGUUUGCGGCUUAACCGUAAAAUUGCAGUUGAUACUGUCAGUCUUGAGUGUGCAUGAGGUGGGCGGAAUUUGUGGUGUAGCGGUGUAAUGCUUAGAUAUCACGAGGAACUCCAAUUGCGAAGGCAGCUCACUGGGGCAUAACUGACGCUGAUGCACGAAGGUGUGGGUAUCAAACAGGAUUAGAUACCCUGGUAGUCCACACAGUAAACUAUGAAUACUCGCUGUUUGCGAUAUACAGUAAGCGGCCAAGCGAAAGCAUUAAGUAUUCCACCUGGGGAGUACGCCGGCAACGGUGAAACUCAAAUGAAUUGACGGGG
RNAcentral lists this ribosomal RNA (393 nucleotides) under uncultured bacterium. Its description in RNAcentral is "partial 16S ribosomal RNA". It matches the Rfam family "Bacterial small subunit ribosomal RNA", at positions 523 to 918 of the family's 1533-position model. The record is from RNAcentral.